RNAcentral lists this ribosomal RNA (511 nucleotides) under Amnirana galamensis (Galam white-lipped frog). RNAcentral describes it as "partial 16S ribosomal RNA". It matches the Rfam family "Bacterial large subunit ribosomal RNA", at positions 1891 to 2577 of the family's 2925-position model. Lineage: Eukaryota; Metazoa; Chordata; Amphibia; Anura; Ranidae. The record is from RNAcentral.
GAGGUCCACCCUGCCCAGGGCACAAAGUUUAACGGCCGCGGUAUCCUAACCGUGCGAAGGUAGGAUAAUCACUUGUUCUUUAAAUAUGGACUAGUAUCAACGGCAUCACGAGGGCCAUACUGUCUCCUCUCUUCAAUCAGUGAAACUGAUCUCCCCGUGAAGAAGCGGGGAUUAGAAUAUAAGACGAGAAGACCCCAUGGAGCUUUAAGCAAUACUUUCACCUUUUAUUACCACAUCAACCUAAUAAGAAGGACUGAAUUUUAGCUUUAGGUUGGGGGGACCGCGGAGUAAAAAUUAACCUCCACGACAAACGGGCAACGCCCUUAUCCACGAAUUACAACUCUAAGAAUUAGAAUACUGAUGUUUAUUGACCCAUUUUAUGAUCAACGAACCAAGUUACCCUGGGGAUAACAGCGCAAUCUACUUCAAGAGCUCCUAUCGACAAGUWGGUUUACGACCUCGAUGUUGGAUCAGGGCAUCCCAGUGGUGCAGCCSCUAAUAAAGGUUCGUU